Long non-coding RNA from Asparagus officinalis (garden asparagus), 589 nucleotides. RefSeq lists it as uncharacterized. Lineage: Eukaryota; Viridiplantae; Streptophyta; Magnoliopsida; Asparagales; Asparagaceae. The transcript has 3 exons. The record is from RefSeq and is a predicted model, not a curated record.
UUAGCUGUCGUCGACGUUCCGCACCCCAGCAACGUCAUCGCCCGACCAACCUCUUCCCCCCGUCGUUGGCGUCACCCCAGCAACGUCGUCGCCCGCACGUCGUCGCCCAGCAAUCGUCGCCCCUGCAACGUUGAUUAAUUCGUUGUUUGGUAUAUUUUCACACCCUUUUAAUCAGGAGUUUGGGGAUGAGUAUCAGGUCUUUGUAACUGAUCUAUGGACUGAUCAUACUCCCUGGCCAUUUAAUCAAUUGCCAAGGAGUUAUAACUUCUUGGUAAAACAUGGAGCAUUGUGGAAAAUGACAUACUAUGGAAGUGCUCCAAGAUUAGUGCAUCAGCCACAUUUUCCAGCAACAUCUGCUUUUAUAGCUCGGACUACUUUGAAAGAUUUGAGAGGACCGCCCCCUAGUCGAUCUAAUCUGGAAGCACGGGUUAUAGAAGAAAAGGGGAAAAAAACCAGAUGCUUCACCAACGCUUAGAUGAGCAGGAGCAACAACAACAAAGGAUGUCUGAGUUGGAGUCACAAGUGAAAGCUAUGCAAGAACUUUUUUUUAGACAAUCACCUUCAUUGACUCCUCAAACUCGAGAACGUG